Molecule: ribosomal RNA, 467 nt
Filed under: uncultured bacterium
Lineage: Bacteria
Description: partial 16S ribosomal RNA
Rfam family: Bacterial small subunit ribosomal RNA
Source: RNAcentral
GACGAACGCUGGCGGCGUGCUUAACACAUGCAAGUCGAACGGAAAGGCCUCUUUCGGGGGGUACUCGAGUGGCGAACGGGUGAGUAACACGUGAGUAACCUGCCCUUGACUUUGGGAUAACUUCAGGAAACUGGGGCUAAUACCGGAUAGGAGCUCCUGCUGCAUGGUGGGGGUUGGAAAGUUUCGGCGGUUGGGGAUGGACUCGCGGCUUAUCAGCUUGUUGGUGGGGUAGUGGCUUACCAAGGCUUUGACGGGUAGCCGGCCUGAGAGGGUGACCGGCAACAUUGGGACUGAGAUACGGCCCAGACUCCUACGGGAGGCAGCAGUGGGGAAUAUUGCACAAUGGGUGGAAGCCUGAUGCAGCAACGCCGGGUGCGGGAUGACGGCCUUCGGGUUGGAAACCGCUUUCGCUCAUGACGAAGCUUUGUGUGACGGUAGUGGGUAAAGAAGCACCGGCUAACUACGUG